CUCCUCCUUCUCCUCCUCCUGCUCCUCCUGCUCCUCCUGCUCCUCCUCCUCCUCCUCAUCAUCAUCCUCCUCCUCCUCCUCCACCACCUCCUCCACCUUCUCCUCCUCCUCCUGCUCCAACUCCUUUCAAAUUCAAAAUCCGGUGUAUAUGAACGGACACUGAACGAGCAACCGUGGGAACAUGGUUAACUCGAAACGCCUCAGGCGCAGGCAAGCUGGUGAUUUCAACGGGCAGAUUUCAAGAGCUUCCUCCGCGCCGUCGGGACACGUCUGUCCUUGAGCUUUACGUCUGGGAUGCGUCCGAAUGCACGCGUCGCUCAUGGUGAUGGCGUCCGAAUACAUGGGAUUGACUCGAAUUCGUGUCAGUGUCAGUUUCCGCGGACAGUGAAGGACCUCGUGGCUCCGUUCGCGAGCACUCACUUCUCUCCAUUGAAACCCGCGUCGGAAUGACAACGACGCCAUUGGCUGCAGCGACGAGGAAUUCUGAUUGGUUACGGAUGAGAGAACUGCGUUUAUUGGCUGGCAUAAAAAAAGGAGCAUUGCGAUUGGACAGCUUGAUGAGGAGAACUUCGCGAGGGCGGGCGACACUGGGAGCUCGACAUCUCGACCCUGAUUUAACCUGUUUGAACUCCAUUAAGAAACGAUUAUAAAAACGUUAAUUAGACUUUACUUUAAGCUUUAUUGAA
Penaeus chinensis is the source of this 686-nucleotide long non-coding RNA. RefSeq lists it as uncharacterized. The transcript is spliced from 5 exons. The record is from RefSeq and is a predicted model, not a curated record. Lineage: Eukaryota; Metazoa; Arthropoda; Malacostraca; Decapoda; Penaeidae.